GAGAAAAAGAGGUGGAGGGAUGCAGAGAAAAGGAGUGUAGGUGCUGCAGGAAAAAUGGCAUCUCUUAUAUUUCAGAAAUGCAAACACUACAGUGAUAAUGCAAACACACGUGAUAAGAAAGUGUGACUUGCGUUCCCUACUUAAGGCUUCGCUGAAAUUGCCCAAUACUUAUGGGAAAACAGCUGACAGAGUAAUUAGAGAUGGUGCAUAUAAUUUAUCAUUCGUAGUCUUGAACUUCGUGCAGCUGAUUUGGAUGACCAGAUGACUUGUACAUGUAGACUAAGUGCUUGAGGUGGGGAGUGUGGUUUGAACAGAGAAGAGCAUUAAAAAAAUAACUAAUUUACCCAGGAUCCUCUGUUUUUAACCCAUAAAAUACAAAAGACAUGCCUGGAGUUGUCCUGAUAUGGGGGAAAUUCUUUUGAGACAGAUUUCACACUGCAAGAAGUACCGAGGCUGCUUUACUGCUGAUGGAAGGACAGCCCGGACACCUACAAUUUCAGACUAUCUCAGGUGGUGGCUGCAAAAUGAAAAUGCUCGACUGAUAAACACUUGUGAGGUAGGUGAAAGAGGCUCUCAUUUCAAGUUCAAAUCCAACAUCUUCCCCCGCAGUUUGAGGGAGAGGAUUAGGUCCCUUUGCCACACAUUUCUCCUGUCUCCACCCCUCCCACCCCCUCCUUCAGCAUCUAUAUCCAAACCCUGCAUCUGA
This 706-nucleotide long non-coding RNA is filed under the name Coturnix japonica (Japanese quail). RNAcentral describes it as "lncRNA (ENSCJPG00005005405.1)". The record is from RNAcentral. Lineage: Eukaryota; Metazoa; Chordata; Aves; Galliformes; Phasianidae.